This is a long non-coding RNA of Ornithorhynchus anatinus (platypus), 583 nucleotides long. RefSeq lists it as uncharacterized. Lineage: Eukaryota; Metazoa; Chordata; Mammalia; Monotremata; Ornithorhynchidae. The record is from RefSeq and is a predicted model, not a curated record. The transcript is spliced from 4 exons.
AAACCUCGUCGUUCCUCGUCUCUGUAGCCGAAGGUCACUGAAGCAGGCCAAACCCCAGGGCCUCGAGCCUGGAGCCAGCGGAGGGCAGAGGCCGGAGGCUGAAGGGCAGAGGGCCAGGGCAGGCCCCCCGGAGCCAAGCAGAAAUUCCAGGACAGAGAGGAAAAUCCCAGGAUUUGGACCGAUUUUCAGGGGAUGGUGUGAAGAUAAAAUGAGGCAAACGAUGUGAAAGAGCUCUGGAAACGAUUUUAUGAAGUGAUCUACAAAGCAAAUUAUUUCCAAAGAAGUUACCCUUUCAUGAACCGGCAGCAAAAUUGCUCAACAGGACCACAGAGGCCAGAGCAGAAGGGAGAUAAUCAGGACCAGAGAGGAUGGGCCGGGGUGACUGGUUCCAGACAGCAGAGUUUACCCUCUGCAUCGGCGCAUACUGAAGGUGUGAUGCCCCAUGGGGAGAAGUUAGUGUGUUGUGGGGCUCUGAAGAAGGGGGGCCUGCGAAUCUGCGAGAUGGUCAGAGGAAAGGCAGCAGGCUGCUGCUGAGGAGAGCGCAGAGACCACCCGAGGAUCACCCACCCCUGGCUCACCUGUU